This 487-nucleotide ribosomal RNA is filed under the name uncultured bacterium. RNAcentral describes it as "bacterial SSU rRNA". It matches the Rfam family "Bacterial small subunit ribosomal RNA", at positions 28 to 524 of the family's 1533-position model. The record is from RNAcentral.
GACGAACGCUGGCGGCGUGCUUAACACAUGCAAGUCGAACGAGGUCCACUGCGUAGCAAUACAAGGGAAGACCUAGUGGCGAACGGGUGCGUAACACGUGAGGAACUUGUCCCGGUCUCUGGGAUAACAGUUGGAAACGACUGCUAAUACCGGAUGACGUCGGAAUCUCGCAUGGGAUACUGACGAAAGGGUUACUGGAUCGGGAGAGCCUCGCGGCCUAUCAGCUUGUUGGUGAGGUAACGGCUCACCAAGGCAUCGACGGGUAGCUGGUCUGAGAGGAUGAUCAGCCACACUGGGACUGAGACACGGCCCAGACUCCUACGGGAGGCAGCAGUGGGGAAUCUUGCGCAAUGGGCGAAAGCCUGACGCAGCAACGCCGCGUGCGGGAAGAAGGGCCCUCGGGUUGUAAACCGCUUUCAGUAGGAACGAAAAUGACGGUACCUGCAGAAGAAGGUGCGGCCAACUACGUGCCAGCAGCCGCGGUAAU